RNAcentral lists this ribosomal RNA (247 nucleotides) under uncultured bacterium. RNAcentral's name for it is "partial 16S ribosomal RNA". It matches the Rfam family "Bacterial small subunit ribosomal RNA", at positions 524 to 770 of the family's 1533-position model. The record is from RNAcentral.
UACGAAGGGGGCUAGCGUUGUUCGGAAUCACUGGGCGUAAAGCGCACGUAGGCGGACUCUUAAGUCAGGGGUGAAAUCCUGGAGCUCAACUCCAGAACUGCCUUUGAUACUGGGAGUCUUGAGUUCGGGAGAGGUGAGUGGAACUGCGAGUGUAGAGGUGAAAUUCGUAGAUAUUCGCAAGAACACCGAUGGCGAAGGCAGCCAUCUGGACCGACACUGACGCUGAGGCGCGAAAGCGUGGGGAGCA